RNAcentral lists this ribosomal RNA (253 nucleotides) under uncultured bacterium. RNAcentral describes it as "partial 16S ribosomal RNA". It matches the Rfam family "Bacterial small subunit ribosomal RNA", at positions 524 to 776 of the family's 1533-position model. The record is from RNAcentral.
UACGUAGGUGGCGAGCGUUGUCCGGAUUUACUGGGCGUAAAGGGAGCGUAGGCGGACUUUUAAGUGAGAUGUGAAAUACUCGGGCUCAACUUGAGUGCUGCAUUUCAAACUGGAAGUCUAGAGUGCAGGAGAGGAGAAUGGAAUUCCUAGUGUAGCGGUGAAAUGCGUAGAGAUUAGGAAGAACACCAGUGGCGAAGGCGAUUCUCCGGACUGUAACUGACGCUGAGGCUCGAAAGCGUGGGGAGCAAACAGG